This 253-nucleotide ribosomal RNA is filed under the name uncultured bacterium. RNAcentral describes it as "partial 16S ribosomal RNA". It matches the Rfam family "Bacterial small subunit ribosomal RNA", at positions 524 to 776 of the family's 1533-position model. The record is from RNAcentral.
UACGUAGGGCGCAAGCGUUGUCCGGAUUUAUUGGGCGUAAAGAGCUCGUAGGCGGUCUGUCGCGUCGGCUGUGAAAACCCGAGGCUCAACCUCGGGCCUGCAGUCGAUACGGGCAGACUAGAGUGUGGCAGGGGAGACUGGAAUUCCUGGUGUAGCGGUGAAAUGCGCAGAUAUCAGGAGGAACACCGGUGGCGAAGGCGGGUCUCUGGGCCAUAACUGACGCUGAGGAGCGAAAGCGUGGGGAGCGAACAGG